This 253-nucleotide ribosomal RNA is filed under the name uncultured bacterium. RNAcentral describes it as "partial 16S ribosomal RNA". It matches the Rfam family "Bacterial small subunit ribosomal RNA", at positions 524 to 776 of the family's 1533-position model. The record is from RNAcentral.
UACAGAGGUGGCAAGCGUUGUUCGGAAUUACUGGGCGUAAAGAGUGUGUAGGCGGUGCUCCAAGUCUGGUGUGAAAUCUCCCGGCUUAACUGGGAGGGUGCAUUAGAAACUGGAAUGCUAGAGGAUGGGAGAGGUAAGCGGAAUUCCUGGUGUAGCGGUGAAAUGCGUAGAUAUCAGGAGGAACACCUGUGGUGUAGACAGCUUACUGGACCAUUUCUGACGCUGAGACACGAAAGCGUGGGUAGCAAACAGG